AGAUAACACCUUGAUGACAGGUGAUUUAUUUUCAGAAUGAUAUAUAUUUAUACUGUCUUUGGGACAGCGCUUGAUAUACAGACAGCCUUUGGGGCGUAUGUCAGGUGGUCACCCUUUGGGGGUAGCUCUGCACAUGUGUAUGACCAGUAUUUUAUUUGCUCUUGGGCCAAAUUUGUCAUUAUAGAGCCUAAGAUGCCAGCAUUGCUCUCAGGCUGUCAUUGUUUUAUUAUACCUGAGAUGCCAGCAUUAUCUGCAGGGAACAUAUUAUGAGUUUCCUUUUUGGUGAUCUACUCGGCAGUCCUCAUCUUCUUGUUUGUCCUUCCUUCCAUAUCGUCCACUCAGAGUCUAGAGGAGGUCGGACCAAUCCUAAGUUUUUUUUGUCUUUUCUUUUUGUACUUUUGAUAGAUCAUGUAUAGAUUGUACAGCCUAGUGGAAAAUGUAUUUUGUUGAUUGUAAAUAUUUUAUGAAUUGACAGGUCCAACUAUCAGUUUUUCUCUUUUAUGCUUAAUGUUUUGGAAUUAUGGCAGGUUACCUGUUUUUAUAUUAUAAAUAUCAGGGGAGGUUCUGUCAGUUUUCCUGGUCAUAUCCAUCUUUACAGUUUUGGGGUUUGGGUGUGACAUAUACUCUGAGGGAGUUGAGAGAAAUGGUUAAUCCUGACCAACUUCAAGUGGGUGAUCACAUUUAUACUUGGAGGGCUGUUGGAUACUCCCACCAUGGAAUAUAUGUGGGCGAGAUGAAUCAAGUCAAGUACGUGAUUCACUUCGUCACCACGGGCUCGGUAUUUAGCUCAAUCUCCUCAGUCAGUAGACCUAAACACCAGGCUUGCCAAGUAUGUGGAUAUGCAGAAAAUGUGAAUCGUGGAGUGGUGAAAACUUGCCUUGAUUGUUUCCUAUCAGGAGACAAAUUGGAAGUUAGGCAGUAUAAUGGAAAAACGAAACCAUGUGAUGAAGUUGUGGAGAUGGCCUAUAAGCUAUUGGAAAAGGGGUUCGGCCAAUAUGAUUUAGUUGUAAACAACUGUGAGCAUUUCGCAACCUUUUGUAAGAUAGGAGACCCCAGUAGCGCACAAGUCGGCGUUUUCGUAGGGAUCGGUAAUUUAGCUCCCGGUACUCCAUUCCAGUUGUUUAGUGCUUACCAUUUGAUUCGGAAGUGGACAUUCCGCAGAUAGAUUUGUUUAAGUUUGAAUCUCUCGGAACAAUUCUCUACAAGAAUGAAGAUGCUCCAGCUUCAGAACUCUUAAAAUACUGUCUGAGAAAACAAUGAGAGCCUAAUAUUGUUAAUUAUAUGCUUCCUCAUCUCAUCAGCCUUAAAUAAAGAGAGGAGUUAAUGAGAAAAAAAAUAAAAUAAAGUUAGAGAGAUUUCUGCGUUGGAUUCUCGGCUUUCAGAGGUGCAAGGCUAUUAAUAUAUCUACAAUAAAACCAAGCAGAUUUCAAACAGUAAACGCUGCAGGAGAUUGCAAUUCAAUUUUAACAUGUCCAUUUACUGAUUUAGCCCUCCAAUUUCUGUCCUUUUGCCUUCCUUUUUGAAGUUUUUUCGUCUUUUUCACCUUCAGUAAUUUGUUGCGUGCUAAAUGACCCGUUGGUCCACGUCCUACAACCAAAAUACAAGCAGACUUCUUCUCUCUCAAAAAUGGAACGGAAGAGAAAAGUGAGGAGGAGAGAAAAUCAAAUGUAAUGGCGAGCCUGUCUAAUGGCUAUGCACCGUCGUUGUUGUGUGUUCGCUUUUUUUAUUUCUUUUUCAUUGGGUGUUUUGCGUGGAAGAUAACUGUAAAGAUGGUGUGUGUGUGAGAAAGAGAGAGAGAGCGAGAGAGAGAGAGAGAGAGAUGGGCUUCGGCCAUUACUGACGAGCGCAGGUGAACCAAUGAAGGUAGGCAACGUCACUCUAUGCUCCUAUCAGGGACGAAUGAUAGCGGCGCUGCGACUUUGAAGCCCGAUUUCAGCAAUUCAGAGACCUUGAUUUGGAGUCCAUAAGCUCAAUCAAUUCUUUCUUCAAUGUUCUAUAUUUUAUUCUCAAUUUAGUUGAUUAAUCUUCAGUUUUAUUUUUUUUAUUUUCUUUUUUGUUGGAUGUUUUUGUAUGGAAGAUGAUCUGCAGAGAUGAUGAUGAUGAUGAUGAUGGAGAGAGCGAGCUUUUUGGCAAGCUCCAUCCAUUGCAGAUGAAUGCAGGUGAACCGGCGCAGGCAAGCAACAUCUCCCGGUGGUCCAUUAGUGACAAGCGAUGGCUUCAAUCCCAUUAGUGACAAGCGAUGGCGUCAAUCUUUAUUUGAAGUCUGAAAGAUCAAUCGCUUCUUUCUUUAUUCUAUAUUUUCUUCUCAAUUUAGGUGAUUAAUCUUCAGUCUUAGAUCUCAGAUCCAAAGGUGCUUGGAUAUUCCUAAGGUAUUCCAAGAUCAUGGCAAGGAUUGAGGUUUUGCAGAGAAGCCUAAGGUAUUAAAAUGACUCCGUGUAAAUUAAUUAUCUGUGUAUACAUUUUCUUGGGGUUGCAUUUUGGCUAAUGAUCUUUUAGUUAAUAGAUUAGCAUAAUCGACUCCUCUCUCCAUGGACUUCCAUUUUAGACCAACCAUGCCUCCAACUGUUGGCUUUCCAUGAGCUAAAAUAUGUAAUCAAAAUAUUCAGAUCCAUACUUAGAGAGAUUUUAAAUUACUUGCAAUCUUUGAUUGGUAUCGCUGAGAUUUAGUUUCACUUUAUUUAUUAAUUUGCUUUGUGAGGGAGAUGAAUGUCGGUUUAUCUCAUGACGAGGAUCUUUGUACUGUACAAAUGACUACAAAAGUAUGAAGCAAAGAGAAGGAGCUGGUUGCAGUUGCGGCCAGUGGUAUAUAGAUAGCAGAUAAAUGGAGCAGGAGCAGGCUAUUUUGACAUUGUGAUGAAGCUUGAGUUAAUAUCCCUAAUUAUUUAAUAGUAUGAGCUAAUUGGAAUCGUGUUAUACAAUGGGCACUAGGUUCAAUCAUAAUUAGAGCUACCAAAGAUAAAUCACUUGUGUACUAAUUUUAUGGUUUUGUGUGCAUUAAAUUUGAGUUAGAUCUAACUCAACUUAAAAGCUCAAGAGGGAAGAGCUCAAGAGGGAAGAGUGCCUAUGGCCCAUAUACAUUAUCCAUUUCCACGACCGACGUGGGAUUCAACAGUGUGUAUAUUCUUACUUUUGUCAGCUAGAUUUUCUUUUUUAUAAACUUCAUUGGAUUGAAAUAAUUUUUUUUUAUCAUAUGUUUUAUAUGGCGUCUUUAUUUAAGAUCAAGAUUAACUGAAACAUUUUCCUCUGGUUUUCCCUCUGCACUUUAAUUUGAUACAAGGAUCGCUAAUAUAAUAAAACAGUUGAUUUUGGCAAGCAGUAUUUGUAUUUUUCUUGAAUUUGGUAGAUGAUGCUAUCUAAUUCUGUUUUGAAGAUUACCUCUUUAAUAUUUAUCGUUAUACUUUUAUUUAUAUCGGUUAAGCAAGGAAAAGAGCAUGUGCAUGAAGCACAUUGCUCUAGAGAAAGAAGCAUGGAAAAUUACAUAGAUGAGGAGAAAUUGCUACUUUCAAGAACAUUCUUUGGAAAUAAACUGCGAUAGUAUUACUUUAUUUAAAAGUUUUUGGCUUACAACUACAAUAUUAUCUAUUUAUCUAAAUUAUUGUUUAAGCAUUGAAAAUUAGAUUUAGUUCAUUGAAAGAGAAAAAGAAUUGAAUUAAACUUUAUUUAUUGAAAUAAGUAAAAAAAAAAAAUCUAUGUAUCAUGAAUAGUGAUAGCCCGCAGCAACGCGCGGGUAUACUUCCAGUAUUAAUAUAGAGCAAAUAUAUAUCACAUGAUUUCUAACUAAUUAAUAAAUGGAGGAAUAGUGCAUCUUAUUUACAAAAUAGUCUUACAAGGUAAACAAAAUCAGAUACAUCUUAAGGUGGUUGAAUUCAAUUAAAGUGAAUAUUAAAUAUAUAUAUGUAAAUUGCAGGAACUUGAAUGUAUGAAGCAAUGGCAGCAUAAGUUUCAAGAAUCUCCUCUACACUCUUAUCUAUUGACCAGAGUUAUUAAUUAGUGAUGUGUCCUUAUUUUGAGUUCCUCAUCCUCGUUAGCUUUCAUUGGUUUCAACUUCCAUGCAUUGGCAGCCUUCAUUACUUAUUAGGAUUUCUAUUACACAAGUGAAUGUAGCAAAUCCAUGAUCAUUUAAGCUUUCCUCAUUUCCUUCUAAAUUCUACAGCAACAUAUGAUGUCUGCAGGACUAUGUAAACAAUUACAAAAUGAAAGAUAGCAAUCAAUAACCAUUUAGCUGUGUAUUGAAAGAGUUGACAGUUUGAGGGAAAAUGGUGAAUCCUGAUGAACUCUAAGUGGGAGAUCAUAUCUUUGUUUGGAGGCCUGUUGUUCGUGUGCUUGAUUAAUUAUUAACUAUUGCAGGAAUAUACGUGGGCGAGGUUAAUAAAGUCAAGUAUGUGAUUCACUUCAUCACCACAGGAACUGGAGCAUUUGUAGGCAGCAUCGGCGGCCGUCUCCGUCUUUUCUACUCUAAAAUCAAGUCUUGCAAACGAUGCAAAGAAUGUGGAUAUGCAGUGAAUCGUGGGGUGGUGAAAACCUGCCUUGGCUGUUUUCUCAGUGGGGGCAUAGUGCAGGUGGAGUAUUAUAAUUUUUUUUCACUGGAACCACGUGAAGUUGUGAAUACAGCCUACAGCCUAUUGGAACAUGGAUUCGGUGAAUACGAUGUUCUUGCAAAUAACUGUGAGCAUUUUGCCACCUUAUGUAAGGUUGGAGAGCCUCGCAGCAGACAAGUCGAAAAAGUUGGACAUGCUGUUACUCGUCGUUUGCCUGUUCUAAUUACAGCCCCUUAAUAAAUAUCUAUCUGUAUCUAGAAGACAAAGUCUUGCGAACUAAAAAAUUAUAAAUUAAAUAGUCCACUUAUAGAAUUUGAGAACAGAAAUAAAAAGAGCUUAAUAUUAUUAU
RNA transcript from Manihot esculenta (cassava), 4887 nucleotides. It is a transcript of the gene named protein LEAD-SENSITIVE 1, with no coding region annotated. The record is from RefSeq and is a predicted model, not a curated record. NCBI's taxonomy places the organism in Eukaryota, Viridiplantae, Streptophyta, Magnoliopsida, Malpighiales, Euphorbiaceae. The transcript is spliced from 4 exons.